Molecule: ribosomal RNA, 253 nt
Filed under: uncultured bacterium
Lineage: Bacteria
Description: partial 16S ribosomal RNA
Rfam family: Bacterial small subunit ribosomal RNA
Source: RNAcentral
GACAGAGGUCCCGAGCGUUAGGCGGAAUCACUGGGCUUAAAGCGUGUGUAGGCGGAGUUCUAAGUACCUUGUGAAAUCCCACGGCUCAACCGUGGAACUGCUUGGUAUACUGGUUCUCUUGAGCCACCUAGGGGCAACCGGAACAAACGGCGGAGCGGUGAAAUGCGUAGAUAUCGUUUGGAACGCCAAUGGUGAAAACAGGUUGCUGGGGGUGUGCUGACGCUGAGACACGAAAGCCAGGGGAGCAAACGGG